CCCUUAGAUGUUCUGGGCCGCACGCGCGCUACACCGAUGUAUUCAACGAGUUUCUUCCUGGUCCGAGAGGAAUGGGUAACCUUUUGAAAGUGCAUCGUGAUAGGGAUAGACUAUUGCAAUUAUUGGUCUUCAACGAGGAAUUCCUAGUAGACGUAGUUCAUCAGACUGCAUCGAUUACGUCCCUGCCCUUUGUACACACCGCCCGUCGCUCCUACCGAUUGAAUGCUCAGGUGAGCCAUUCGGACUUUCAUCAUGCUGGUUUCCAGUUUUGAUGAAGGAAAGUCUUGCGAACCUUAUCAUUUAGAGGAAGGAGAAGUCGUAACA
This 324-nucleotide ribosomal RNA is filed under the name uncultured eukaryote. Its description in RNAcentral is "partial 18S ribosomal RNA". It matches the Rfam family "Eukaryotic small subunit ribosomal RNA", at positions 1470 to 1796 of the family's 1831-position model. The record is from RNAcentral.